This 171-nucleotide ribosomal RNA is filed under the name uncultured bacterium. RNAcentral's name for it is "partial 16S ribosomal RNA". The record is from RNAcentral.
CACGCCGUAAACGGUGGGUACUAGGUGUGGGUUUCCUUCCUUGGGAUCCGUGCCGUAGCUAACGCAUUAAGUACCCCGCCUGGGGNUGCAACGCGAAGAACCUUACCUGGGUUUGACAUGCACAGGACGCCGGCAGAGAUGUCGGUUCCCUUGUGGCCUGUGUGCAGGUGG